RNAcentral lists this ribosomal RNA (492 nucleotides) under uncultured bacterium. Its description in RNAcentral is "partial 16S ribosomal RNA". It matches the Rfam family "Bacterial small subunit ribosomal RNA", at positions 29 to 507 of the family's 1533-position model. The record is from RNAcentral.
AGUGAACGCUGGCGGUAGGCCUAACACAUGCAAGUCGAACGGCAGCACAGUAAGAGCUUGCUCUUACGGGUGGCGAGUGGCGGACGGGUGAGGAAUACAUCGGAAUCUACUUUUUCGUGGGGGAUAACGUAGGGAAACUUACGCUAAUACCGCAUACGACCUACGGGUGAAAGCAGGGGAUCUUCGGACCUUGCGCGAUUGAAUGAGCCGAUGUCGGAUUAGCUAGUUGGCGGGGUAAAGGCCCACCAAGGCGACGAUCCGUAGCUGGUCUGGGGGCAUGAUCAGCCACACUGGAUCUGAGACACGCUCCAGACUCCUGCGGGAGGCAGCAGUGGGGAAUAUUGGACAAGGGGCGCGAGCCUGAUCCAGCCAUACCGCGUGGGUGAAGAAGGCCUUCGGGUUGUAAAGCCCUUUUGUUGGGAAAGAAAAGCAGCAGGUUAAUACCCCGCUGUUCUGACGGUACCCAAAGAAUAAGCACCGGCUAACUUCGUG